GAAUGGAGAUUGGUCAACGGAUUCACGGGACACAUACAACCUCUACGAUCCUGUUGUGAGAUCAACAGUCCAAGUGUACCCUGGAGGAUGGACUGCAGUUUAUGCAUUCCUUGACAACCCUGGGAUGUGGAACUUGAGAUCUCAACUGUUAAAGCAUUGGUACUUAGGGCAAGAACUCUAUGUGAGAGUUUAUGAUGCUGACCCUAACCCUGCUAAGGAGAGCCCACCACCCGAAAACCUCCUUCGAUGUGGAAUUUUCUCUUCUCCUCCGGCUCCGGCUCCGGCUCCAGCUUCAUGGACUUGAUGCUGAUUGGGAAUGACCUUAAUUAGUAGAAUUAUAGAUGCAUUAUGAAUAACUAGCUAGCAAACUGCACACACAACUAUGAGUGUGCUUGAGUGAGGCUAGAAUAAAUUUAUUUGUUUA
Molecule: non-coding RNA, 424 nt
Organism: Malus domestica (apple)
Lineage: Eukaryota; Viridiplantae; Streptophyta; Magnoliopsida; Rosales; Rosaceae
Source: RefSeq, a predicted model, not a curated record